UACAGAGGUCCCGAGCGUUGUUCGGAUUCACUGGGCGUAAAGGGUGCGUAGGUGGUGAGGUAAGUCGGAUGUGAAAUCUCCGGGCUCAACCCGGAAAUGGCAUUGGAAACUACCUUGCUAGAGGAUUUGAGGGGGGAUUGGAAUACUUGGUGUAGCAGUGAAAUGCGUAGAUAUCAAGAAGAACACCAAUGGCGAAAGCAGCUCUCUGGGACGGUACUGACGCUGAGACGCGAAAGCGUGGGGAGCGAACAGG
RNAcentral lists this ribosomal RNA (253 nucleotides) under uncultured bacterium. RNAcentral's name for it is "partial 16S ribosomal RNA". It matches the Rfam family "Bacterial small subunit ribosomal RNA", at positions 524 to 776 of the family's 1533-position model. The record is from RNAcentral.